AUUGAACGCUGGCGGCAGGCCUAACACAUGCAAGUCGAACGGUAACAGGAAGAAGCUUGCUUCUUUGCUGACGAGUGGCGGACGGGUGAGUAAUGUCUGGAAAACUGCCUGAUGGAGGGGGAUAACUACUGGAAACGGUAGCUAAUACCGCAUAACGUCGCAAGACCAAAGAGGGGGACCUUCGGGCCUCUUGCCAUCGGAUGUGCCCAGAUGGGAUUAGCUAGUAGGUGGGGUAACGGCUCACCUAGGCGACGAUCCCUAGCUGGUCUGAGAGGAUGACCAGCCACACUGGAACUGAGACACGGUCCAGACUCCUACGGGAGGCAGCAGUGGGGAAUAUUGCACAAUGGGCGCAAGCCUGAUGCAGCCAUGCCGCGUGUAUGAAGAAGGCCUUCGGGUUGUAAAGUACUUUCAGCGGGGAGGAAGGGAGUAAAGUUAAUACCUUUGCUCAUUGACGUUACCCGCAGAAGAAGCACCGGCUAACUCCGUG
RNAcentral lists this ribosomal RNA (490 nucleotides) under uncultured bacterium. Its description in RNAcentral is "partial 16S ribosomal RNA". It matches the Rfam family "Bacterial small subunit ribosomal RNA", at positions 30 to 507 of the family's 1533-position model. The record is from RNAcentral.